This 471-nucleotide ribosomal RNA is filed under the name uncultured bacterium. RNAcentral describes it as "partial 16S ribosomal RNA". It matches the Rfam family "Bacterial small subunit ribosomal RNA", at positions 330 to 793 of the family's 1533-position model. The record is from RNAcentral.
GCCAGACUCCUACGGGAGGCAGCAGUGGGGAAUAUUGCGCAAUGGGCGAAAGCCUGACGCAGCGACGCCGCGUGAGGGAUGAAGGUCUUCGGACCGUAAACCUCUGUCAGCAGGGAAGAACGGUCACUGUGCUAAUCAGCAGUGAAUUGACGGUACCUGCAAAGGAAGCACCGGCUAACUCCGUGCCAGCAGCCGCGGUAAUACGGAGGAUGCGAGCGUUAUCCGGAUUUAUUGGGUUUAAAGGGUGCGUAGGCGGCAUUAUAAGUUAGUGGUAAAAUAUUGGGGCUUCACCUCACUACGCCAUUAAUACUGUAGAGCUAGAGAACAGACGAGGUAGGCGGAAUAAGUUAAGUAGCGGUGAAAUGCAUAGAUAUAACUUAGAACACCGAUAGCGAAGGCAGCUUACCAGACUGAGUCUGACGCUGAUGCACGAGAGCAUGGGUAGCGAACAGGAUUAGAUACCCUAGUACG